AGCGGAGGAAAAGAAACCAACAGGGAUUGCCCUAGUAACGGCGAGUGAAGCGGCAAUAGCUCAAAUUUGAAAGCUGGCCUCUGGUCCGCAUUGUAAUUUGUAGAGGAUGCUUUUAGGCAGCCGCCGGUCUAAGUUCCUUGGAACAGGACGUCAUAGAGGGUGAGAAUCCCGUAUGUGACCGGCUCAGGCACCUUCUGUAAAGCUCCUUCGACGAGUCGAGUUGUUUGGGAAUGCAGCUCUAAAUGGGAGGUAAAUUUCUUCUAAAGCUAAAUACUGGCGAGAGACCGAUAGCGCACAAGUAGAGUGAUCGAAAGAUGAAAAGCACUUUGGAAAGAGAGUUAAAAAGCACGUGAAAUUGUUGAAAGGGAAGCGCUUGCAAUCAGACUUGGCUUAGAUUGUUCAACCGGUCUUCUGACCGGCCUAUUCAUUCUGAGCCAGGCCAGCAUCAGUUUCGGCGGCCGGAUAAAGGCCUUGGGAAUGUGGCCCUCCCUUCGGGGUGGGUGUUAUAGCCCAGGGUGUAAUACGGCCAGCCGGGACUGAGGUCCGCGA
Molecule: ribosomal RNA, 549 nt
Filed under: Plowrightia periclymeni
Lineage: Eukaryota; Fungi; Ascomycota; Dothideomycetes; Dothideales; Dothioraceae
Description: LSU rRNA
Rfam family: Eukaryotic large subunit ribosomal RNA
Source: RNAcentral